Molecule: ribosomal RNA, 405 nt
Filed under: bacterium enrichment culture clone ALO1_GLFRUDD03FX1YM
Lineage: Bacteria
Also listed under: 3 other names
Description: bacterial SSU rRNA
Rfam family: Bacterial small subunit ribosomal RNA
Source: RNAcentral
GAGUUUGAUCUUGGCUCAGAUUGAACGCUGGCGGCAUGCCUUACACAUGCAAGUCGAACGGCAGCACGGGAGCUUGCUCCUGGUGGCGAGUGGCGAACGGGUGAGUAAUGCAUCGGAACGUAUCCUGGAGUGGGGGAUAACGUAGCGAAAGUUACGCUAAUACCGCAUAUUCUGUGAGCAGGAAAGCGGGGGACCUUCGGGCCUCGCGCUCUUGGAGCGGCCGAUGUCGGAUUAGCUAGUUGGUGAGGUAAAGGCUCACCAAGGCGACGAUCCGUAGCAGGUCUGAGAGGAUGAUCUGCCACACUGGAACUGAGACACGGUCCAGACUCCUACGGGAGGCAGCAGUGGGAAUUUUGGACAAUGGGGCAACCCUGAUCCAGCCAUGCCGCGUGAGUGAAGAAGGCC